Pan troglodytes (chimpanzee) is the source of this 120-nucleotide ribosomal RNA. NCBI's taxonomy places the organism in Eukaryota, Metazoa, Chordata, Mammalia, Primates, Hominidae. The record is from Ensembl.
GCCCUGGUCACUCACCUCAGCCUAUGCAUCUCAUCUCAUCUGAUCUCAGAAGCUAAGCAAUAUUGGGCCUGGUUAGUAUUGGGGUGAGAGAGCAGCUGGAAAAACUGGGUGCUGUAGGCU